Molecule: ribosomal RNA, 390 nt
Filed under: uncultured Glomeromycotina
Lineage: Eukaryota; Fungi; Glomeromycota
Description: SSU rRNA
Rfam family: Eukaryotic small subunit ribosomal RNA
Source: RNAcentral
AGCAGCCGCGGUAAUUCCAGCUCCAAUAGCGUAUAUUAAAGUUGCUGCAGUUAAAAAGCUCGUAGUUGAAUUUCGGGAUCAUCAUGUCGGUCGUGCCUCGGUACGUACUGGCAUUGUUGGUUUCUACCUUCUGACGAACCAUGAUGUCAUUUAUUUGGUGUCGUGGGAAAUCAGGACUGUUACUUUGAAAAAUUGAGUGUUUAAAGCAGGCUCACGCUUGAAUACAUUAGCAUGGAAUAAUGAAAUAGGACGUUUGAUUCUAUUUUGUUGGUUUCUAGGAUCGACGUAGUGAUUAAUAGGGAUAGUUGGGGGCAUUAGUAUUCAAUUGUCAGAGGUGAAAUUCUUGGAUUUAUUGAAGACUAACUACUGCGAAAGCAUUUGCCAAGGAUG